UCUCUUUCUUCAGAUGAUGAUCCCAAGCCUUCAGGCGUUCUGUUCAUUAAAUUCCAAAAGCAUUUAAGAAACAGAUCUGUUUCUUAAACAUAUCUUUUGUUUGUCCCGAGGAAGGUUUUUACCAAUUCACUCCUGAGGG
This 139-nucleotide unclassified non-coding RNA is filed under the name Bartonella sp. Its description in RNAcentral is "partial 16S-23S ribosomal RNA intergenic spacer". The record is from RNAcentral. Lineage: Bacteria; Pseudomonadati; Pseudomonadota; Alphaproteobacteria; Hyphomicrobiales; Bartonellaceae.